UACGUAGGGUGCGAGCGUUAAUCGGAAUUACUGGGCGUAAAGCGUGCGUAGGCGGUUAUUUAAGUCGGAUGUGAAAGCCCCGGGCUCAACCUGGGAAUUGCAUUCGAGACUGAAUAGCUAGGGUACGGUAGAGGGAAGUGGAAUUUCCGGUGUAGCGGUGAAAUGCGUAGAUAUCGGAAGGAACAUCAGUGGCGAAAGCGACUUCCUGGACCAGUACCGACGUUCAGGCACGAAAGCGUGGGGAGCAAACAGG
Molecule: ribosomal RNA, 253 nt
Filed under: uncultured bacterium
Lineage: Bacteria
Description: partial 16S ribosomal RNA
Rfam family: Bacterial small subunit ribosomal RNA
Source: RNAcentral